CCUGGGAAGUACGGCCGCAAGGCUGAAACUUAAAGGAAUUGGCGGGGGAGCACAACAACGGGUGGAGCCUGCGGUUUAAUUGGACUCAACGCCGGACAACUCACCGGGGACGACAGCAAUAUGUAGGCCAGGCUGAAGACCUUGCCUGAAUCGCUGAGAGGAGGUGCAUGGCCGUCGCCAGUUCGUACUGUGAAGCAUCCUGUUAAGUCAGGCAACGAGCGAGACCCGUGCCCACUGUUACCAGCAUGUCCUCCGGGAUGAUGGGUACUCUGUGGGGACCAGCCGGUGUUAAAUCGGAGGAAGGUGCGGGCUAC
This 314-nucleotide ribosomal RNA is filed under the name Methanosarcina sp. enrichment culture clone CIBANICRA-MBT5. RNAcentral describes it as "bacterial SSU rRNA". It matches the Rfam family "Archaeal small subunit ribosomal RNA", at positions 827 to 1139 of the family's 1478-position model. The record is from RNAcentral. Lineage: Archaea; Methanobacteriati; Methanobacteriota; Methanomicrobia; Methanosarcinales; Methanosarcinaceae.